UGCCGCGGAAGGGGUGGGAGACGGCAGGGGUGAGCUGCAGAAACGUGAUGAGGUUCGAGUUUCCCCUUGAUGCAAAUCCUCUCACUCCAGAGUGGGCAUGUGCAGACAGAGAAGACAGGAGAUGAGGAAGCUGGAUUCAGAUGCAAACCCCUUAGAGAUCCACUCUCAACUCUUCCAGAUAACUGCUGUGUGAUGUUGGGUAGGCUGCAUAGCCUCUCUGUUUUCCAAACCAUUCCGAGGCUGUAACUGUAUUCAUCUUACUGUAUGGCCGGGAGGGUUCCACUGAUGGAGCUGAUGUAGGCAGAAGAGAAGGCUGGUGCUCUGGCCUCCAUGUUGGAAUGUGAGAAGGAGGACCACACCCUGAGGAUGGCAGAAGGGGGAACAGGAUGGAGCCUGGGACAGUGAGGGCUUUGUGGAGUAUCCAAACCAGCCCUGAAUUGCCUGCAUCUGGACUUCAUUCACAUGAGAGAAAA
Hippopotamus amphibius kiboko is the source of this 473-nucleotide long non-coding RNA. RefSeq lists it as uncharacterized. The record is from RefSeq and is a predicted model, not a curated record. NCBI's taxonomy places the organism in Eukaryota, Metazoa, Chordata, Mammalia, Artiodactyla, Hippopotamidae. The transcript is spliced from 4 exons.